Molecule: unclassified non-coding RNA, 117 nt
Organism: Pongo abelii (Sumatran orangutan)
Lineage: Eukaryota; Metazoa; Chordata; Mammalia; Primates; Hominidae
Rfam family: Metazoan signal recognition particle RNA
About the family: The signal recognition particle (SRP) is a universally conserved ribonucleoprotein. It is involved in the co-translational targeting of proteins to membranes.
Source: Ensembl
GCCGGGCGUGGUGGCUCACGCCUGUAAUCCCAGCACUUUGGGAGGCCGAGGCGGGUGGAUCACCUGAGGUCAGGAGUUCAAGACCAGCCUGGCCAAUAUGGUGAGACCCCGUCUCUA